Colias croceus (clouded yellow) is the source of this 964-nucleotide long non-coding RNA. RefSeq lists it as uncharacterized. The transcript is spliced from 2 exons. The record is from RefSeq and is a predicted model, not a curated record. NCBI's taxonomy places the organism in Eukaryota, Metazoa, Arthropoda, Insecta, Lepidoptera, Pieridae.
UGCAGAAUUGCAAGUACCUAUUUCUUUUUGUACCUAAAUUUUGUCUCAACUAAGGUCUCAACUAUAUUUUGUGGGGAUUAACAAAAACAUAAAAAUAUCAACAUAGAUUAUCUAAUAAUGAUAGAAAGGAAAAGAUACGAAAAAAAGUAAAAAGUACUUUACUAAACAAAUAAUAGAACAUAGGUAAUUAUAAUUUACGUUGUAACUUCAUAAAAAGUUAUUCUAUAAAUUGAAAGCUUUUUAUUCGCCAAAAUGCCUCGAAAAUCUAGACGCAAUAUGAAACAACAAAGAAUUGGAAAAAAAACCAAAAACGCCAAGAAGAAAGAGAAGCAGGAAACAGUCGAACAAGUACCACAUUACUAUUACACAAUAAAUCCAGACAGAAGAGUAACAAGACAGAUAAGUAAGAUUCUCCAAGCUAUUAACAAUUUUUCUUUAAUAGAAGUGUAUAGAUGUAUGCCCCUUUUGGGAGACGAGUAUAACAUUCCAUAUUGGGAUGUCCAUGCUGUGCGUUACUCUGUUGUUUUUGGUCAUUAGUCUAAUUUUCUGUAGUAUUUUGACAUAAGCGUUCCUGUUUUUAUCCAAUUUUUAUACUAAGAAUUACCAUGCAAGGUAAUAUUGUAAGUAGUAGUUGUAAGCUAUGAGUAGUUUUCAAUCAGUAUUCCUUACCAAACGUUGUUAGUUCUUAAGCAAAACCUUACUUUAAGUCAUUGUUGUGCCUUCAUAUUUUAUUAGUUUAAAAUGAACGACUAAAAGUUGGUAAUUUUUAAGUGUUCGAUUUUUGUAGCUGUAUUGUAUGACAUACUUUUGUUAAAUAUAAAACAAACAACUUUAACUGACUGUUAAGUUUAUAAUGUGACAAAGUUAUAAAUAUCUUGUUUAUUUUUUCACAAAUACAUUUACUUUUGACAUAAAUGUUAAUUUUUUUUUAAUUUUCUAUCUUACAUUAAAAAAUAAAACAUAA